This 505-nucleotide ribosomal RNA is filed under the name uncultured bacterium. RNAcentral describes it as "partial 16S ribosomal RNA". It matches the Rfam family "Bacterial small subunit ribosomal RNA", at positions 28 to 507 of the family's 1533-position model. The record is from RNAcentral.
GACGAACGCUGGCGGCGUGCCUAAUACAUGCAAGUAGAACGCACAGUUUAUACCGUAGCUUGCUACACCAUAGACUGUGAGUUGCGAACGGGUGAGUAACGCGUAGGUAACCUGCCUGGUAGAGGGGGAUAACUAUUGGAAACGAUAGCUAAUACCGCAUAAUAUUAAUUAUUGCAUGAUAAUUAAUUGAAAGGUGCAAUUGCACCACUACCAGAUGGACCUGCGUUGUAUUAGCUAGUAGGUGAGGUAACGGCUCACCUAGGCGACGGUACAUAGCCGACCUGGGAGGGUGAUCGGCCACACUGGGACUGAGACACGGCCCAGACUCCUACGGGAGGCAGCAGUAGGGAAUCUUCGGCAAUGGACGAAAGGCUGACCGAGCAACGCCGCGUGAGUGAAGAAGGUUUUCGGAUCGUAAAGCUCUGUUGUAAGAGAAGAACGGGUGUGAGAGUGGAAAGUGCACACUGUGACGGUAUCUUACCAGAAAGGGACGGCUAACUACGUG